RNAcentral lists this transfer RNA (73 nucleotides) under Candidatus Poseidoniales archaeon. RNAcentral's name for it is "tRNA-Thr". It matches the Rfam family "tRNA". From Rfam's summary of the family: Transfer RNA (tRNA) molecules are approximately 80 nucleotides in length. Their secondary structure includes four short double-helical elements and three loops (D, anti-codon, and T loops). Lineage: Archaea; Methanobacteriati; Thermoplasmatota; Candidatus Poseidoniia; Candidatus Poseidoniales. RNAcentral also lists the same sequence under 1 other name. The record is from RNAcentral.
GCCAACGUAGCUUAGCUGGUAGAGCGGCUGAUUUGUAAUCAGCAGGCCGGGAGUUCAAAUCUCUCCGUUGGCU